Molecule: ribosomal RNA, 422 nt
Filed under: uncultured eukaryote
Lineage: Eukaryota
Description: SSU rRNA
Rfam family: Eukaryotic small subunit ribosomal RNA
Source: RNAcentral
CAAUAGCGUAUAUUAAAGUUGUUGCGGUUAAAAAGCUCGUAGUUGGAUUUCUGCCGAGGACGACCGGUCCGCCCUCUGGGUGAGUAUCUGGCUCGGCCUGGGCAUCUUCUUGGAGAACGUAUCUGCACUUGACUGUGUGGUGCGGUAUCCAGGACUUUUACUUUGAGGAAAUUAGAGUGUUCACGGCAGGCUAACGCCUUGAAUAUAUUAGCAUGGAAUAAUAAUAUAGGAUCUUGGGUCUAUUUUGUUGGUUUCUAGAGCUAAGAUAAUGAUUAAUAGGGACAAUUGGGGGCAUUCGUAUUAACACGUCAGAGGUGGAAUUCUUGGAUUGUGUUACGACGAACUACUGCGAAAGCAUUUGCCAAGGAUGUUUUCAUUGAUCAAGAACGAAAGUUAGGGGAUCGAAGAUGAUCAGAUACCGU